AGAGAGCUGGGUGCGAUUAGGAGAGCGGAGAAGGGAGAGGGUGGCCAGGUCCCUAGGCAGUUAAAGAUCCAAGUCUCUUCGGUCAGGUCUGUCCAAGGUCCCAGAGGCUUUGGGGGAUCGGGUGACUGUGCGGAGUGUAAAAGACAUUUCUUUAGGAAACAGACAAGGCAGGGCCAGGAGUUCCGCGGUUUUUUUUUUUUCUGUGCAGAAAUCGCUACCCGGCGACGGCUCAGAGCGGUAGAGGGAAAGUCUUAUCUGCCAAGGCGGGAUUAGAUCCGCCCGCCGAGGGUCCUAGUAGCCCCCCGCCCAGCAAGGGCCGUGCGCGCGCCAGGGAACUUUGGAGCGACGAGUAGUUUCGCGUCGUACGCGGUGUCUGGUCUCCACGCAUCACGUGCGCCCGCGGCCCUUGGCGGGGACUUUAGUGCUAGCGAUCCGACAGAGCAGCCAGGACUCGGUUUUGCGAUGCCCUAACCUGGGCAUUUAUGCUGGGGGCGGAACGAAGUCGCCCAACCCAAGUUCUCCCUGCACCCUGAGAAGGAAAUGUGGUGCGCCCACUGGGGCGUGAGGCCGGCCGCCACGGCCCAUUCUACACACCUACUGGCAUUCCGCUUUUCCUUACUGUGUGCCAGGGGAAGGCAUAAUUCAAUUAUAUCAUCCAACUGCAGCGCACCCUUUUCCUCUUUUGCUUUGAGGGGAAUUUUCCAAUUCCCAAACAAAUACCUAUGGCUCUAAAGCCGAGUUGAGUUCUGUAGUAACUACCCGGGGUGACAAAAAAAAAAAAAAAAAGACCCCAAAUUGGCUGUGAGUUUACAGCCUGAAGCAGCUUAUUUAGGCUCGCUGAGCGCCGUUCCAAACGGCAGGACUCACGCUAUUUCGGGAGAAGUUGGAGGGUGGAGAGAAAACAAGGUUAUUUAAAGUGACUCCCAGAACGCAGCUUUCAUUCCUUGACUCUUUAGGUGUCAGUGCCUCGGCUCCGUUUUAGCACGGCACAGGCAGCCCAGCCUUUGAUAUUUAAGCCAGGCCAGCCCCCGGGUGAAACUACCUGUUGGGGGAUUCCGCUGCCUAGAGCCCUUCUUCUUCUGCGCAAUACUGGCAGCAGUGGGAUGGCUCUGGGGGUGGCGUGAGAAGGGAGAGGGCGGAAGAGCCGGGAGCAGCGGACAGUCAGUUGCAUGUGGCAGUGCCUAGCGAAGCUGCUCCCGCGCCUCUACUCGCUCUUUGAAAACUGGAAACAGCCCCCUGUGCUCUGUGCUGGGCCCCUGGCUGCAGAGAUGGGCCCAAACUCGGCACGAUUCUCUAAGUUCGGAAACCACGAAGCUUGCGCCUUCAUGCGUGUCUAACAUUAAAAAACAAAAAGCCUCCUGGCGGCUUCCUGGGCUCCCGCCCCCACCUUGCGCUCCAACACCCGGCACUUUUCCCUGUACCAAAAUUCACUUUACUACUUCUUGAAAUUCGGAAAACUCCACCGACGCUUGGACUCGCUGCAACCCAGGGGCUGCCUAAAGCUCUCGCACGAGUUGCUUGAGGGAAAUCACUCUGCUCUUGCGAGCAAACAGAUCUCUGUAUUUUUAAACAAUCUAACUGAAUGGGGGAGCGAAGCUAGCGAGGACAAUUUGAGCAGUCUUUGUGCCUGUUGGGAGAAUUUUUGGAAGCUAGCGGGGUGGGGGUUUCGUGUCUCGCAAGAACCUGUGGGAAGGACAGUUCAGGCCGGGCCCUGGGGCUGGAAGGCUCAUUUGAGGAGAACAUAGCCCAAGACUGGCACGUAUUUAACAACCUUCUUUAGGGCAAACUGCAACGGAGCCCGCCCGACAUUAAAUUUAGGGGGUGUGGAGGCGUAGACUGGGCUUAACCGGGAAAUUUUCCCCGAGACGCCAAAGGCACUCCGCGUCGUUUCCCAUGCGGGUUUCUGCGUUUUGAUAGGGAACCCCACUCCGUUUUGGGAGCAGCAAAAUUUUGAAGAGCCCCAAAGCGGGGCUCGUUUGGGGUCCAAAGGGAAGAAAGGACUUGAUCUGUGGCUGGGGAACAGCGGCACUUUAUUUCCUGGGGCAUGCGCUCACAUCCCCUACGGCCACAAAGCACCCGGCUGAAAACGAAAUGUCGGCAAAUAUGAGGUCUGCAGGACACACCAAAGAACUCCUCCAAGUCACACAAGGGAGAAAAUUAACUUCGUUGGCUUCUAUCAGGAAAGCUAUUUUUUUCCUCUUCCUUCCUGCAAGUUUCCCAAACCCCAUGACUCUGAUUUCCAGGAUAAAGGCGGAAGGAAUUUGACACAGACACACCAAAGAGACAUAAAGAUAAGAUGAGGAGGCAAUGGCCACACAGGCAGAGAUUGCAGUGAUGUGGCCAAAAACCAAGGAAUACCUGGAGGCACCAGAAGCUGGAUGAGACAGAAACAAAAUCUCCCCCAGAGCUUCCAGAGGUAGCAUGAUCCUCCUGACACCUUGACUUUGGACUGGUGGCCUCCAUACAUGUGAGAGAAUAAAUUUCUGUUGUUUUAAGCCACCGGUUUUUGGUAAUUUGUUAUGGGAGCCACAGGAAACUAUUAAUAAUACACCAGCUCACCACUGCAGCACUAGUGUAUGGUUCAGGGAUGGGCAUGUGGUACAAGCUAGGGCAAUGAGAACUCAGCUUCUAUCGUAAAACAAACCCUCUCCUUGGCCCUGGGGUUGCUGAGUGGUUCCACCUUUGCUACUAUACAUACCAAUGAAUGGAAGCAGCACAGAAGGUAGUAAAGUUUAGAUUUAAAGAGAGACAUUUCUGUCAACAUUGUUUAAGAAACUGGAUCUACUCUACCACUGGAUUUUUAAAUAUUACAUAUUAUAUGAGAAAAUUAAUUGUUCUCUUUUUAAGCCAAAUUCCUAACCAAUAUAGAGAUGUUAAUUUUUGGAGAACUUUUAAAAUUGCUCAUCUGCACAGAGAGCAUUUUAAAUAUAUAUGGUUGUUAUCACUUGAUCAGCUACUAUUUAAAUGAGGUAUAACUUAGAAAGACAAUCAGGAAAAUAUGUACCAAACAGUGAACAAUUUAAGACCUACCUGAAUUCAAUCAUGUUCAUUUGUGCUACAAACACUUAUAUUAAGCCCAACCCUUAUCUAAAGCAUUUGAUUCAGGACAGAUAUCCAUCUAUUUAAGAACUUACAAUUUAUUUGCCAGUAAAGGAAUUUGGUAUAGCCCACAUAUUGAGGUCACUAGCAGUAUUAACUUUUCAUUAUAUAGUCUAUAAUUUUCUGAAUAGUUCUAAAUUCAAGUAAUUUUAUUAUUUUUCCUAAACAGAAUUUGGUUAAUGCACAAUUAAAAUACUUCAAAUUCUUUAUGAGGUUACAUUUAACUACAUCCACAAAUUAUAACAAAAAAUCUUUCGGCAAAUUGAAUGGUUUGGGUGGGAAAAUAUUCUUAUGGUGAUUUUCAAUGAUGUUGUACCUUUGGUUAAUUUUGUACCUUUCAAUAAUUUUUAUUUGUUAGUGUGGAAGAGCACUUUUCUGAAAGGAACAUGUCACAGAAAACCCCAGGGAUAGACAUAUUGUAUUAAUUAUUUUUAAAACAAAAAUAAAAGGCUUUUACAUUCAGCAUUUCUAUCUUUAAUGAUUUUUCCCGGUUUAAGAGGUUUCAAAUUAAUUUUGUCACCCAUAAUCCUGUUUCUUUCCCUCCACUUUCAAAUACCUUUGUUUUUUGAUGAGCACAUUUUGGAUGAAUUCCCAGUCAACUUUUUAAUCUAAUUAAAUUCAGAUAAGUUUAACUCAGAUAACAUUUACAGUCAGCUCCUUGAUAGUUGAUUAGCUGGGAGCCCAUCUUUCAGAAUUCUUAAAAAAAAAAAAAGACUUUUGAGGAUUGCUUUUUGUUAAAAGAGCCUAUUACUAAUGCUGAUGUCACUGGCAUCAAUAAACUAACACCCACUUGUCUUGGUUUAAAAUGACAAUAGGCUUUCAAAUGCAAAUAUUCAAAUAUUAUAUCAUUCUUUAGCACUUCUGUAUUUGCUAGUAGCAUUACUUAUCAAAAAGAAUUGUUUUGAAUAUUUUCAUGAGCAAGCAAGCAAACCACAUCACAUCACACACAUGCACACACACACACACACACACACACACACACGCAUGCAUGCAAGGCACAUAAAUGAUUUCACUAAUGACAUAUAGCAUACAUUAGUCAAGCAAUUGUAUUAAUUCAAGUCUACACUCCCUGUAGUCUAGAACAGUCUCCGUCUUUGCUACACAACAGUAGCCACUAAAAUCUUUUGGAAGAUUAGGAUCACUCAAUAUGAAGUUAAAAGAAAACAUGAAAAAAUGAAAGCUUAGUUUUAGGAUUUCCCAUUUUUUUAGCCCUAUAAUAGCCUAAAAUAAAACUUGGGAACAAAUGAGGUUUACCAAUGACAGGAGUAAACAGACUCAAAGUAAGUGUUUACAGGCAAGGCAAGGAAGCUACUUCCUUUCCAUUAACAAAAAGGAGCUUUUAAAUCUUACUCAUUCUUGAUAAUGCUGGCUAAGGAGAAGCCCAGCAAGUUUGCUUUUUCCUUAAAGCUAAAACAAAACUCAACACAAGAGUUGAAAUACAAGGAACCAAAGAAAAUCAUUAAUUUGUUCUUUGAUGACAACUCUAUGCCAGAGUUACAAGGGCAUCUCUACAUUAAUUGUUUUCUUCAUAAGGAAACCACUAUAGAAAUUUAGGUGAAUGAAUAUAAUUAAGUGGUUCUGUGGCUCCAACUGUAACACGUCGUUUUAAAAAAGAAAAAAUCAAACAACCCAACAUUUGCCCAGGAACCAGAGGAGAAAAAUAGCCUUCUAAGAGUUAGGUCCUCAAGAUAUUUCAAAGCUGCCUGGACAAUGACUUGGAAUGACUACAAUGGUGAACCAUUCUGCCUUGGACCCGAAUCUAGAUUUAUGACCUAAUAUAACUUUCCCAACUCUGCCUGCCAUAGUUUUAUGAACAUCAAGAACUGGGUGUCUGCCACUGUCAACAAAUAGAGCUUCUCCAGAGCAUUUUCAUCCACAGAAACUCAAGUAUCCCCAAAAGAACAUAGAUCUCAGUCUUCCAAGGCUGCCUUGGGAUGCCUCAGGAUGCCUCUAGCUUUCACCACAAAUUGUAGGGAAACUGUUUUGGCACAAUAAUUCUUCAAGAAAAGGAAGAGUACCUGUUAAUGCCCUGUGUUUUCUUGGUUUAAGAAUGUUUGGUGAGGCUAGGUCCAGUGGUUCAUGUCUAUAAUCCCACACUUCAGGAGGCCAACACAGGGAAGAUCUCUUAAGGCCGGGAAUUUGAGCCCAGC
Molecule: long non-coding RNA, 5249 nt
Organism: Cercocebus atys (sooty mangabey)
Lineage: Eukaryota; Metazoa; Chordata; Mammalia; Primates; Cercopithecidae
Exons: 3
Source: RefSeq, a predicted model, not a curated record